GUCAAAGUCAAACUAAGGUUGAAGUGCAAUGUCUGUCACCAUUUUCAAAAUUCCUUCAACCCCAUGAUGAGAACCUAAACCCCCCACCCCUACCCUCACCCCGCAACCCCAAACUCUCAACAAUUUUCGUGCAAUUGCUGUACCUUUUAGCUUUUCCCAACUCUUUGCUCAAAUCUGGAUCUGAUUCAUACAAAUUAGUGCAAAUAUUCAAGCUGUAAAGCAGUGAUAACAAAGAAUCUCAA
RNAcentral lists this unclassified non-coding RNA (242 nucleotides) under Hevea brasiliensis (rubber tree). The record is from RNAcentral. Lineage: Eukaryota; Viridiplantae; Streptophyta; Magnoliopsida; Malpighiales; Euphorbiaceae.